Molecule: ribosomal RNA, 298 nt
Filed under: Spirometra erinaceieuropaei
Lineage: Eukaryota; Metazoa; Platyhelminthes; Cestoda; Diphyllobothriidea; Diphyllobothriidae
Description: partial 28S ribosomal RNA
Rfam family: Eukaryotic large subunit ribosomal RNA
Source: RNAcentral
GAUUACCUGCUGAACUUAAGCAUAUCACUAAGCGGAGGAAAAGAUACUAACCAGGAUUCCCCUAGUAACGGCGAGUGAAGAGGGAAUAGCCCAGCACCGAAGCCUGCGGUAGGUUUACUGCUAGGCAAUGUGGUGUUUGGGUCGACUCGCGGGAUUGCCACUCCACUCGAAGUCCAGCACUGAGUAUGGUUCCCUGGAUUUGGCCCAGAGAGGGUGAAAGGCCCGUGCGAGUGGAGGUUCAGACAUGUGAGGCAAUUCACCAGGUCGACCUUCGAGUCGGGGUGUUUGGGAAUGCAGC